GCAAGUCGAGCGGAUGAAGGUAGCUUGCUACUGGAUUCAGUGGCGGACGGGUGAGUAAUGCUUAGGAAUCUGCCUAAUAGUGGGGGACAACGUUCCGAAAGGAGCGCUAAUACCGCAUACGUCCUACGGGAGAAAGCAGGGGACCUUCGGGCCUUGCGCUAAUAGAUGAGCCUAAGUCGGAUUAGCUAGUUGGUAGGGUAAAGGCCUACCAAGGCGACGAUCUGUAGCGGGUCUGAGAGGAUGAUC
RNAcentral lists this ribosomal RNA (246 nucleotides) under uncultured bacterium. RNAcentral's name for it is "partial 16S ribosomal RNA". It matches the Rfam family "Bacterial small subunit ribosomal RNA", at positions 57 to 305 of the family's 1533-position model. The record is from RNAcentral.